Molecule: non-coding RNA, 20 nt
Filed under: Arabidopsis thaliana (thale cress)
Lineage: Eukaryota; Viridiplantae; Streptophyta; Magnoliopsida; Brassicales; Brassicaceae
Source: RNAcentral
UCGCCGUCGUUCUCUCUUAA